AUCACAUGUGCUAUACAUGCUGUUGAUGAAACUGCUAAAGGGGCUGAAUGUGACUGACGUCUUUGGAAGGAUGAGACUUAGCGUGCCUGUACAGUUGUGUCCAAAUGCUGUCCUCAUCUCCCAAUGAAAAGGGUUUUUCCUUAAGCCUCACAACAAUUUACAGCAUUGCCAGCAGCAUUCAGUACAUUCAGAACAGGAUAAUUUCACCCGCAGCUGAACUAGGGCCAUGCCUGGGACAGACAGAGAAUGGCCUUCCAGCAGACAUGCCAAGAAGCAAGCCAGGGUCAGUGAGUGAAGAGGAGGGCAGGCCCAUUUGAAGCAACACAGUUUAUGUAAGUGUGAUCUAACUGCUUUCACUGGAAAUGGGUCAGACUCCAGUUGAGAGAACCAGGGGCCUGAAUGACCCCAGCAAAAUCACUGUGGCAAUUCUUUCAAUCACCUCUGAGAAUAUGGCCCUGUGACGACAUAAUGACGUUUGGAUUAAUUCCAGUCGGCUGUGUUUUCCCCUCCUUUCUUGCCUCCCCGUAGUUGAUUUGCCAAAUUUUUUUUGUUUGCUUAAAUACGCGGAACUAAACAGGAUACAUUAUAUGACAGUCUGUGAUAAAUUUACCACUGGGAAUAGGGAAAAAGUAUGGGAUAAAGAAAUAGGUAUUUUUCGCCUCUCACAGCUGUGAUUCAGUUCUGACUCAAAAGGAAGUGUGCCACCUACUGAAUCACAGAAACCACUUCCUGUGGCUGUUUGGUUUAUUCUGGAGGAGCAUCAGGCCAAGUGCUGCCCUGCCCUGACCCUGACUGGCUCUUCAGAGCCAAGGCAUUCACAGCUUGAGGUGGUUUGGCCUCAGACUCUUGAGAACAUUGCAUAUUAAAUUACAAGUGUUUCGUUUCCUAGCAAGGAGUCUUUAGCAACAUGAAAACGAACGUGUGUUAUUUGCAAACCAAGUAUAUCAUUACUGAACCUGAAUAUCCUUACUUUUUCAUAAGGUACGUAUUCCGGAUGACCACUCUUAAGAUCUGAAUGUACACUGGUUCUGUUUUUCCUGAGGGGAACUUGGGCAGUCUGCAGGGUGGCAUUUACCAGCUGAGGGACUUCAAGAGCACCCUUUAAUCAGUGUGGCAGCACUCAACUUGUAUUCACUCACUCAGAGUAUUUUUGAGCAUGUACUUAUUGCCAUGUGCUGUGCUAGGUAGGGGUAGAGGGUACAGUGGUGAACAAGACCCCACAGCUCCUGACCUCAUGGCUCAUGUGUUCUACACCAUAAGGGAAUCAAGCUGUGUCUCCCGGGGCAGGGGCCUUCCUCUGUUCACCAUGCAGCCCCAGCAUCUAGCACCUGGCGUUGCAUAAAGGAGGCUCUAAAUCAAGCUUGUCCAACCCAAGGCCCACGGGCCACAUGUGGCCCAGGAUGGCUUUGAAUGCAGCCAAACACAAAUUUGUAAACUUUCUUAAAACAUUAUAAGAUUUGUGUGUAUGUGUUUUAGUCCAUCAGCUAUUGUUAGUGUUCAUGUAUUUUAUGUGUGGCCCAAGACAAUUCUUCUAUGUGGCCCAAGGAAACCAAAGAUUGAACACUCCUGCUCUAAAUACUUGUUUGUUGAAUAGAUACAUGAAAAGAAAGAAGGAGAGAAGGAAGAAAGGAGGGCGGAAGGAAAGGAAGAAGGGAGAGAAGAAGAGAAGAAAGAAGCAGAGAAAGGAAGAGAAAAGAAAUUACGGCCAGUGCGGUGGCUCACGCCUGUAAUCCUAGCACUUUGGGAGGCCUAAGCGGGCUGAUCACCUGAGGUCAGGAGUUCGUAAGCCAGCCUGGCCAACAUGGUGAAACCCUAUCUCUACUAAAAAUACAAAAAUCAGCAGGGCAUGGUGGUGCGUGCCUGUAAUCCCAGCUACCUGGGAGGCUGAGGUAGGAGAAUCGCUGGAACCCGAGAGGCGGAGGCUGCAGUGAGUUGAGAUCAUGUCACUGCACUCCAGGCUGGGCAACAGAGUGAGACUCUGUCUCAGAAAAAAAAAAAAAGAAAGAAAGAAAGAAAGAAAGUUACCAUUAGUUUUUUGUUGUAUUUGCAAGCAAAGACAAAAGCACCAAGGUACUUGUUUCCUUCUGUAAUUAGAGUUUCAAAUAGACUAAAAGUUUCUGCUCUUAGGUGGGUCUAGAGACUCUCCAGUACCUCAGGACCUCAGGACACAUGGGGUCUCUUGGUUGUUUUCUUUUCAUUGUUGUUGUUUAUUUUAUUUUUGUUUUUAUUUUUUAACUUUAAAACAAUUUUUUGUAGAUGAAUAUGCUUACAUAUGUUUGGGGGUUUUUUUGAGACAGGGUCUUGCUCUGUUGCCCAGGCUGGAGAGCGGUGGUUUAACCACAGCUCACUGCAGCCUCGACCUCCCAAGGUAGGGACUGCAGGUGUGUACACUGGGGUGCACCACCACACCCAGCUAAUUUUUAAAUUUUUUUUUGUAGAUAUUGUCUCACUCUGUUGGCCAGACUGGUCUUGAAAUCCUGGGCUCGAGCAAUUCUCCUGCCUCGGCCUCGUAACGCGUUAGGAUUACAAGCGUGAACACCGCACCUGGCCAGCAUGUGGUCUCUUAACCAGAGGAGGCCUCUUCUGAACUAGGUAGAGGUCCUGAGAAUUGAUUCUGAGAGUAAAAGGCUCUUUGUUCUCCUCAGAGUAGAUUAGAAUCCCUAAUGAUAGAGCAUCUAUUAUUCCUCUAGUGGUCCAUGCCCAACAGAUUCAUCCAAGAAUAGAUGAAGAUCUUUGUAAUGUUGUGCAAGUAAUCUAAUCACCCCACAGAAGAGCUGUGACUUAAAUUAUCCCAGAGUCGGCCCACCUGUUUUCAUAAAGAUCAAUGUAACUUGUAAAUUUCUUCAGUUCUCCUCACCUAUCAUCAUUUGACUAACAAAACCCAGAAAACUAGGCUAGUUAUGGUGGCCUAUGCAUAUAAUCCCAACUCUUUGAGAGGCCAGGGUGGGUGGAUUGCUUGAGUCCAGGAAUUCGAGACCAGCCUGGGCAACAAAGGGAGACCCUGCCUAUAUCCCAGCUAUGCAGGAGGCGAGGCCAGAGGAUUGCCUGAGCCUCAGAGGUUGAGGCUGUAGUGAGCCAUGAUUGCCCCACUACACUCCAGCCUGGAUGACAGAGUGAGACCCUGCCUUAAAAAUAAUAAUAAUAGUAAUAAUAUUUCAUAAAGAUACAGGAAACUAGAUUAUAAUUGACAUUUUCAAAGUGAAAUACUGUCUAGAAUGGUGCUUGGCCAACAGUAAGCUUUUUGUAAGUGGAAGUCAUUACUACUACUAUUUCUUUCAUUAUUAUUACCAUUACUACUUUUUUUUACAAAAAAAAAACCCUGGACAACACACUGAAACCAUUACUACUUCUACUACUAUAACUUAGGUUGCACCUGAUAGAGCCAGCAAUUUUUCCAAGGUAUGACAAUGGCCAUAUGUUUAAUGAUAUAAUUCUAUGGCUCAGUGUAUCUCAGCCUUUUUAAACCCUGCUCUUCUUUUGACAAUUGUAAAAAUCUUAAACUGACCUCCAGUUGAAAUCCUCUGUCAAGAAGAUAUUGUCGGCCAGGGGCGGUGGCUCACACCUGUAAUCCCAGCACUUUUGGAGGCCGAGGUGGGAGGAUCACUUGAGGUUAGGAGUUCAAGACCAGCCUGGCCAACAUAGUGAAACCCCAUCUCUACUAAAAAUACAAAAAUUAGGCAGGCAUGGUGGUGUGUGCCUGUAAUCCCAGCUACUCAGGAGGCUGAGGUAGGAGAAUUGCUUGAACCUGGCAGGGCAGAGGUUGCAGCAAGCCGAGAUCACGCCACUGCUCUCCAGCCUGGGUGAGACUGUCUCAAAAAAAAAAAAAAAAAAGAAAGAAAGUAAGAAAAAGAAGAAAUCCCAAUCUCUUCUUUUAUGUGGAUUCUUCCUCACUUGAAUAAUACUUUUCUUCCCCAGUAUUCUCCAUAUUAUCCCAGAGUCAGCCCCUCUGUUUUUGUAAAGAUCUACGUAACCUCCUCUAAGUUUCCCAGUUCUCCUCACCUAUCAUAUCAUUUGGCUCAACAAAGGGCAGGAAGCUAGAUUCUAAUUGAUAUUUUGAGGCCGGGAGCAGUGGCUCAUGCCUGUAAUCACAGCACUUUGGGAGGCUGAGGCGGGCAGAUCACUGGAGGUCAGGAGUUCGAGACCAGCCUGGCCAAUAUGGUGAAACCUCGUCUCUACUAAAAAUACAAAAAAUUAGCCAGGCUUGGUGGCUUGUACCUGUAAUCCCAGCUACUCAGGAGGCUGAGGCAGGAGAAUAGCUUAAACCUGGGAGGAAGAGGUUGCAGUGAGCCGAGAUUGCUCAAUUGCACCCCAGCCUGGGUGACAGAGCAAAACUCCAUCUC
This 4340-nucleotide long non-coding RNA is filed under the name Homo sapiens (human). RNAcentral's name for it is "HSALNT0328148". The record is from RNAcentral. Lineage: Eukaryota; Metazoa; Chordata; Mammalia; Primates; Hominidae.